Molecule: ribosomal RNA, 454 nt
Filed under: uncultured bacterium
Lineage: Bacteria
Description: bacterial SSU rRNA
Rfam family: Bacterial small subunit ribosomal RNA
Source: RNAcentral
CAUGCAAGUCGAGGGGUAGUAGUUCUUCGGAACUAGAGACCGGCGCACGGGUGCGUAACGCGUAUGCAAUCUACCUUUCACAAAGGGAUAGCCCAGAGAAAUUUGGAUUAAUACCUCAUAGUAUAGUACUUUGGCAUCAAGGAACCAUUAAAGUUCCAACGGUAAAAGAUGAGCAUGCGUCCCAUUAGCUAGAUGGUAAGGUAACGGCUUACCAUGGCUACGAUGGGUAGGGGGUCCUGAGAGGGAGAUCCCCCACACUGGUACUGAGACACGGACCAGACUCCUACGGGAGGCAGCAGUGAGGAAUAUUGGACAAUGGGCGCAAGCCUGAUCCAGCCAUGCCGCGUGCAGGAUGACGGUCCUAUGGAUUGUAAACUGCUUUUGUACAGGAAGAAACACUCCCUCGUGAGGGAGCUUGACGGUACUGUAAGAAUAAGGAUCGGCUAACUCCGUG